AUUGAACGCUGGCGGCAGGCCUAACACAUGCAAGUCGAACGGUAACAGGGAUCAGCUUGCUGAUUCGCUGACGAGUGGCGGACGGGUGAGUAAUGUCUGGGAAACUGCCUGAUGGAGGGGGAUAACUACUGGAAACGGUAGCUAAUACCGCAUAACGUCGCAAGACCAAAGAGGGGGACCUUCGGGCCUCUUGCCAUCGGAUGUGCCCAGAUGGGAUUAGCUAGUAGGUGGGGUAACGGCUCACCUAGGCGACGAUCCCUAGCUGGUCUGAGAGGAUGACCAGCCACACUGGAACUGAGACACGGUCCAGACUCCUACGGGAGGCAGCAGUGGGGAAUAUUGCACAAUGGGCGCAAGCCUGAUGCAGCCAUGCCGCGUGUAUGAAGAAGGCCUUCGGGUUGUAAAGUACUUUCAGCGGGGAUGAAGGGAGUAAAGUUAAUACCUUUGCUCAUUGACGUUACCCGCAGAAGAAGCACCGGCUAACUCCGUG
This 490-nucleotide ribosomal RNA is filed under the name uncultured bacterium. RNAcentral's name for it is "partial 16S ribosomal RNA". It matches the Rfam family "Bacterial small subunit ribosomal RNA", at positions 30 to 507 of the family's 1533-position model. The record is from RNAcentral.